CACAAGCGGUGGAGCAUGUGGUUUAAUUCGAUGAUACGCGAGGAACCUUACCUGGGCUCAAAUGUAUGUUGACGUAUUCUGAAAGGGAUACUUCUUCGGACAAUAUACAAGGUGCUGCAUGGUUGUCGUCAGCUCGUGCCGUGAGGUGUCGGGUUAAGUCCCAUAACGAGCGCAACCCCUACCUUUAGUUGCCAUCAGGUAAUGCUGGGGACUCUAAAGGAACUGCCUACGCAAGUAGUGAGGAAGGCGGGGAUGACGUCAAAUCAGCACGGCCCUUACGUCCAGGGCUACACACGUGCUACAAUGGCCGAUACAGAGGGCAGCUACCUGGUGACAGGAUGCAAAUCUCCAAAGUCGGUCUCAGUUCGGAUCGGAGUCUGCAACCCGACUCCGUGAAGUUGGAUUCGCUAGUAAUCGCGCAUCAGCCAUGGCGCGGUGAAUACGUUCCCGGGCCUU
RNAcentral lists this ribosomal RNA (456 nucleotides) under uncultured Sphingobacteriales bacterium. Its description in RNAcentral is "bacterial SSU rRNA". It matches the Rfam family "Bacterial small subunit ribosomal RNA", at positions 924 to 1382 of the family's 1533-position model. The record is from RNAcentral. Lineage: Bacteria; Pseudomonadati; Bacteroidota; Sphingobacteriia; Sphingobacteriales.